CCGGUGAAACCCGUCAUUCACGGCCCCCCCGUCGUUCAAAAAGCUUACCUCAAUCUCAACAGCUUCCCCUGCUGCCCCUAUCUGCCGCAUGUGUUUGCUCAUGGACGGGGGAAUUGCCCGACGCGGGUGUUUUUGUGUACGUUAGACCUCGACGUACUCUCCAGAGGUAAUUAGACCAUCUGCCGGCCUGUUUGCGCUGGCAUAUAGAUAAAAGUGUGUCCUGGCACACCGCCACACAGCUGCCCCGCGCACUUACACAUUUUGUCAGAUGUUCGGCGCGUUUGAUGUGCGGAACGUUUCCAUCUGUCCUUCUCUUUUUUUCAUGUUAUACUCGUAAAAACGUACAUGGGUUAUCAUUUUAACCUUUUGGAUUUCGCAAAUUGCAUCGAUGGCCGGGGUGUGUGGGUGUGUGUGUGUGUGUGUGUGUGUGUGUGCGUGUGCGUGCGUGUGCGUGCGUGUGUGUCUGGUGUGUGGGCUUGCAUGUAACAAAAGCAAUGUUCAUGGUUUUCGUUGCUGUCAAUCCUACCGACUGUUUAGAUCCAAAUUGGGUCGUUUAGCAGCCACUUUAUCCAGGGAGCCUGCAAAGAAUCAGCGCAUGCAAUGGAAAUUGGUGUAAUGUGCUGCACGCCCUGAUAUAAAUAAAAACUGCAGCGUAGCUAUAGGAGACUGAACCAACCAAGGUCAGCCCAUGAAAGAAAGCAGAAUCAGAAAUAUUUUAUUCAUGAAAGUGACUUGGUUAGGUUGUUUCAAGAAGUAUUCAAAUUAAGUAUAAAUUAACAUUAUGUAAAAACUAAGUAAUAGAAAGCUAUAAAAGAUUUAGGCUGGGAAAGGCUUAGAGGCAAUGAGAGGGCUAGAGGUUAUGCAGCCCUAUUCUAUAUUUACAUAAAUGUAAAUGAAUAUACAUUUACCUGUCGGUGUAUAUACAUUUGUAUUGCACAUUGCUUUUUUGACAGGGGAGAUUAGAUUUGUGUGUGUGUGAGUGUGUGACAGGGUGGGGAGAAUGGAAAUGUAACUUUACCUUUACAUUUAGGGCAUUUAGCGAACUGAAUUACAUUUGUCACAAGAUAGAGAAGCAACAAUAUAUCGCUGUUGGUACAAUAAGGAUGUUCAUAGAAACAAGUGUCCAGCACGAAAUACCUAAUAUAUGAUGCAAUAAAUAUUUCAUAAAUAAUAAUAAAUAGAUAAAUAUAAAUAGAUAAAUGAGUCAAUAUAGGUUAAGAAAUUAUUCUACAUUUUUAUUUAUUUUUAAAGGAUAUUUUGGGGCAGAAAGUGGCUCUGAUUCACAUACUUCUUCAAACCGAUUUUGAUAUACUUGGGCGCGUCUCAGUGUGUGAGAUUAGGGCAGUUCAUGUGUGGACCCCCACAUGUUCCUAUGAGUCGCCUCAUUUAUUUAUUUGACGGUUUCUUUCAUAGCCGUAUUUAUUGAUGUAUUUAAUAUUGACCUAUUCUUGUAUUCUUGAUGGUGGGGGGAUGAUCCCGACCACCUGAGGUCCUGGGACGUCAAUGUCCCCAGGGGUCUGAGUGACCCCCUCAGUUUUAACCAGGGAGGCCCACUCGUUGAGGGCCAGGAGUCUUAGUGACCCCCCCUCAGUUUUAACCAGGGAGGCCCACUCGUUGAGGGCCAGGAGUCUGAGUGAGCCCCCCCAGUUUUAACCAGGGAGGCCCACUCGUUGAGGGCCAGGAGUCUGAGUGAGCCCCCCCAGUUUUAACCAGGGAGGCCCACUCGUUGAGGGCCAGGAGUCUGGGUGACCCCCCAACGUUAACCCGGGAGGCCCAGUCGUUGAGGGCGGGCGUUGGGGCCGGGCUCCUCCUGAAGUCUGUACAGUGUACUCAGCGUUUAGCUAUGCGCUGCACCAGGAAGCCAGGCGGUCCACUUCCUCUUGGGAGGCGUGUCCAUCCCCGUCAGAGAUUAAUCCAAUGAGGGGUCAUGGUUCUACAAACUUCAGUGGUUGGGUUGUCUGGAGGUGCAGCUGUUGGAGUACAGUAGAUGGAGGAGGACAGAGACAGAGCAAACAGUCUUGGGGGACUCCAGCGCUGAAUGUCCGCGGCUCAGAGACGAGCUCUUGGUGGCUCAUGGGUUCAAAUCAGAGACAUAGCAUCCCAACCAAGUGCAUUCCCAAUUCAACAUAACCGCUGAAAUAAACAAAAGUGCAAAAGAAUAAGUAAUAUAAAUGAAUAAGCACUUGUGGUUCACCGGGACCAAGAGGAAGCCAGCAGGAAUCCACUCGAGGAAGCAGGUCGAUAAUUACGUCGAUCAGAAAAAGAGACUUUGAAAGAGUUUUACUCUGCUUGAAGCUGUCUCGAGGAUAGGCUUCAUGCAGUCACACAACUGAUUUCCAUAAAAAGGUGCAAAAUGCAUUCCCACUCAAGGGUGAAGAAUGAGCCGUUUAACGCGAGACACUCCUCAAGUGGCACAUGGUGGUUUUAAAUGGAAUCUCUUAGAGGACGGUUAAACCUCAGCGGUUCUUGGCGCCAACGAUCGUCAUGCUGAUGUCGUGUGUGGCUCCCCUGAGUGCAGGGUACGUGUGUGGGUGUCUGGGCGUGACUCAGAAAGAGUGACGCGUGGAGAGACGUGGAGACGGGGAAAAGGACGGGAACGUCGCUAGAAAGACUUGACUGAAAAUGAGCGUUGAGAAUCAAAAGAGCGGCAGAGAGACGCAGGCCCCCGUCAAGGGCACCUCGCACACGUUAGUGUGAGGCAGACGGAACCGAAGCCUCAGCCCACGGCGACACAUCUGACUCUGGUUUCAGACCACGUCUCUCCGCUCUUUGCUUGGAUAACCGCGGUUCCCUCCGGGGGGAUAUUUAUUGCAUUUAUUUUUUGGUAUUUCAACCAUUUCUUCGACCUUUUCGAAGUGAAGUCCAAAGCUGUCACCGUGUGCGCCUGUUGUCACCCCCUCCGCGCCGACGCUCCUCUCUGUGUGCGAGUGUUGUCAGUCGGAGCGCGUGCGCCCCCUGUGACGAGCGCCGGAGGACGUUUGCUCUGGAAGCAAACCCCCCCCCCCCCCUCCACUCCUCUGUCAAACACACAGGGAGAGGGGGACGGGAACGGGUAUGGAGCCAAAUGAACCGCUACCUGCAUACCGGUGAACGCCCCCCUCCCCUCCCCCCGGCCCCCCCUGUUUUAUAACAUAAGGGCGCCCCCCUCUGUGAGGGGUGACCGCCCCACAGCGGGACCAGAGAGGUGUCAUUCUGUUUUGAUCAGCAGUGAGUCUGGAGAGGCGGAUCCGCGUCGCCGCUGAUUUUGGGAUGACAUGCUGGAGUUCACCGUGGAAAGCUCCGCACAUGAAGUACUAACUGGUUCCACAUGCAAGGCACCAGAGUCCAAGGGCACCCCCCCCCCAAACAACACACGCACGCACGCACAUGAGGCCACUCUCCCUCACCCUCUCUCUCUGUCUCUCUCUCUAUCUCUGUCUUUCUGUCUUUCUCUCUCUAACACUCAGAUUCACACUCUCUCAACACACACACACACACACACACACACACACACACACACACACACACACACACACUCGCGCAUUUCCAAGAGAGAGGGGGGGGGGGGCGCUAUGUUAUCUAAGAGGAGAAGAGGGGUUUUCUCUGUGCUCUUAAGACAGGGGUAAUUCCAUCCUCCCAGUGCUUAUCAUGUUCAUCUUGAUCCAGCUUGGCCGAGCCCCUGAGAGGGUCUUCACUCCGGGGCUGAGGUGAUCACUGGGGAAAGAGCCCUCCAGGUCAUGCAAAGACAAACAAGUUAGAAGGGCUGUCAUUAAGAAGCCGAUGGCGCUUAUUGGGACAAAGCACCAGGGAGACUCUUGGAGGUUAAAAGGUGUUUCCUUAGUGAAAUGAGCCUAGAAUGGGAUGUUAUUCCAAUGUUGACCAUAUUAAUUUGUCGCCCUGUGUUAAGUUAUUAAUGUGGAAUGCACACCAAUCCCUGGGGGCUCAGUAUGUCAUGGAAACAGGGAUUCAAGAUGUCCUUUUAUUCAUUUUCUGCACAUAUUCCCUGUGUCUUUUUUGUGUGUUCUAACAAAAAUAACAAUUUAUUUAUUUGUAACUUUCCUCAUUCAUAGUCGGCAUGCACUCCAGUGGUCGUAAAAAUUAAAUAAAGCUGUUAUUCAAAACAGCUUUUGAAUUUAUUCAUAGCACAUCAUGGCAAUUUCCCAUUAUCAAUGUUGUUGAAAUUAUCCGAGAAUCCUCCCCUGUAAGUGCACUAAGAAUAUUGAUCGCCAAGGCUAUCAGGGAGGUGGUCCUGAACACUGCCAUAAAUGAUAGGGAACGAUCAUUUGAAAUCUGGUUGUAA
Gadus macrocephalus (Pacific cod) is the source of this 4279-nucleotide long non-coding RNA. RefSeq lists it as uncharacterized. NCBI's taxonomy places the organism in Eukaryota, Metazoa, Chordata, Actinopteri, Gadiformes, Gadidae. The record is from RefSeq and is a predicted model, not a curated record. The transcript is spliced from 2 exons.